Molecule: ribosomal RNA, 359 nt
Filed under: uncultured Anoxybacillus sp.
Lineage: Bacteria; Bacillati; Bacillota; Bacilli; Caryophanales; Anoxybacillaceae
Description: bacterial SSU rRNA
Rfam family: Bacterial small subunit ribosomal RNA
Source: RNAcentral
GGGGAUCGGGUGACAGGUGGUGCAUGGUUGUCGUCAGCUCGUGUCGUGAGAUGUUGGGUUAAGUCCCGCAACGAGCGCAACCCUCGACCUUAGUUGCCAGCAUUCAGUUGGGCACUCUAAGGUGACUGCCGGCUAAAAGUCGGAGGAAGGUGGGGAUGACGUCAAAUCAUCAUGCCCCUUAUGACCUGGGCUACACACGUGCUACAAUGGGCGGUACAAAGGGUCGCGAACCCGCGAGGGGGAGCCAAUCCCAAAAAGCCGCUCUCAGUUCGGAUUGCAGGCUGCAACUCGCCUGCAUGAAGCCGGAAUCGCUAGUAAUCGCGGAUCAGCAUGCCGCGGUGAAUACGUUCCCGGGCCUU